GUGGGGAAUAUUGGGCAAUGGGCGCAAGCCUGACCCAGCCAUGCCGCGUGAGUGAUGAAGGCCCUAGGGUUGUAAAGCUCUUUUAACGGUGAAGAUAAUGACGGUAACCGUAGAAUAAGCCCCGGCUAACUUCGUGCCAGCAGCCGCGGUAAUACGAAGGGGGCUAGCGUUGUUCGGAAUUACUGGGCGUAAAGCGCGCGUAGGCGGCGCAGCAAGUCAGUGGUGAAAUCCCGGGGCUCAACCUCGGAACUGCCAUUGAAACUGCUGUGCUGGAAUCUCAGAGGGGAUAGUGGAAUUCCAAAUGUAGGGGUGAAAUCCGUAGAUAUUUGGAGGAACACCGAUGGCGAAGGCAGCUAUCUGGAUGAGUAUUGACGCUGAGGCGCGAAAGCGUGGGGAUCAAACAGGAUUAGAUACCCUGGUAGUCC
Molecule: ribosomal RNA, 425 nt
Filed under: uncultured bacterium
Lineage: Bacteria
Description: bacterial SSU rRNA
Rfam family: Bacterial small subunit ribosomal RNA
Source: RNAcentral